Pygoscelis adeliae (Adelie penguin) is the source of this 536-nucleotide long non-coding RNA. RefSeq lists it as uncharacterized. The record is from RefSeq and is a predicted model, not a curated record. NCBI's taxonomy places the organism in Eukaryota, Metazoa, Chordata, Aves, Sphenisciformes, Spheniscidae. The transcript has 3 exons.
CACAGGCUCUUCUGCUUUAUUCACCCCUAAUAUACAAGGAAGAGUCUCUAAAGUGAAUCUUUAUCAGAAGGAAAAAGAUCUGGAAGAAAUUUGACAUGACUUUUGUACUACGUUCAAGGUAUAGUUCGACACAUGUUGUGAUACUUGCAUAGUGGCAAAAUUUAAAACAGUUUUUACUCAAUAGAUAUAUUUGAAACUUCAGCAUUGAAAGAUAUAUUGCAAAUCAAGAGAGUUUAAACUGUAUUGAUUAAAAGUGAGUCAAACUAAUUUAUUGUGAAACUGAAGUUGCAGUAUUAAUUGGACAAAACUUUGAGUAUUUAAGCUUGCAAGUCGCCAAAUGGCUGCUUCUUGCCAAGUACUCCUCUGUUUAGAUGACAAGUGAAGCAGUUCAGAUAGCCUCAAUGCAGACACCUGAAAAAGAUUCCAUGUGUCCAGGCGACGAUAGUGGAGACUGCUGCCAGAAAAAAAGGAAAUACCAAAAUAAAGCAGAUGUUGUGUCCUAUACUGUUAUCUCAAGGUUUUGCAAGUCAUUCUGU